This 73-nucleotide transfer RNA is filed under the name Armillaria ostoyae. Lineage: Eukaryota; Fungi; Basidiomycota; Agaricomycetes; Agaricales; Physalacriaceae. The record is from RNAcentral.
GAUUCAAUGGUCUAGUGGUUAUGAUUUGUGUCUCACACACACAAGGUCUCCAGUUCGAUCCUGGGUUGAAUCA